UUGCGGUGAAUACGUUCCCAGGUCUUGUACACACCGCCCGUCAAACCAUGAAAGUGACCAACACCCGAAGUCCGAUUCGUCGGCCUAAGGUGGGGGGCAUGAUUGGGGUU
Molecule: ribosomal RNA, 110 nt
Filed under: uncultured bacterium
Lineage: Bacteria
Description: partial 16S ribosomal RNA
Rfam family: Bacterial small subunit ribosomal RNA
Source: RNAcentral